RNAcentral lists this unclassified non-coding RNA (1233 nucleotides) under uncultured Neocallimastigales. Its description in RNAcentral is "partial contains internal transcribed spacer 1, 5.8S ribosomal RNA, internal transcribed spacer 2, and large subunit ribosomal RNA". The stretch from base 536 to 1233 matches the Rfam family "Eukaryotic large subunit ribosomal RNA", at positions 1 to 642 of the family's 3401-position model. Lineage: Eukaryota; Fungi; Neocallimastigomycota; Neocallimastigomycetes; Neocallimastigales. The record is from RNAcentral.
AUAUCCUACCCUUUGUGAAUUUGUUGUUUGAAAUAAUUUUUUUUAAAAUUAUUGAUGUCUUUCCCUGUUGAAUUGAUUGUCGUAGACAAGAUUCUCAGGGAUAGUCAAUAAUUUUAAAAAGACCUUUUUUUAAAUUAAACUUUUUGUAUUCAUUGUCUAAAAUUAUUUUAUAAUAUAAAAACAACUUUUGACAAUGGAUCUCUUGGUUCUCGCAACGAUGAAGAACGCAGCAAAUGCGAUAAGUAGUGUGAAUUGCAGAAUACGUGAAUCAUCGAAUCUUCGACGCAUAUUGCACUUUUUAGUUUACUAAAAAGUAUGUCUGUUUGAGUAUCAGUAAAAUAUUCUCAUAAAAACUAUUGUUUUUAUGGUUAUGAGUGUUUUACAACGAUACAAGUUGUUUCACUUUAAAUUUUUUUUAAAAUUUGAAUUUUUUCUAAUUUUAAUAUAAAUUGGAUAAAAUUUUCCCGUAAAAGGAAUAACCUAAACAAUUUUAUAACUAUAGAAAUUUCAAAAAAAAAGGAAAUUAUAAAUAACUUGAUCUCAAAUCAGAUAAGAGUACCGCUGAACUUAAGCAUAUCAAUAAGCGGAGGAAAAGAACUAACAAGGAUUCCUUAGUAACGACGAGUGAAGCGGGAAGAGCUCAAAUUUGAAAUCUUCAAGGUUUUACCUUGAUGAAUUGUAGUUUAAAGAAGUGUUUUCUGUUGAAGUUUGGUAAAAGUUCUUGGAAUAGGACAUCAUAGAGGUGAGAAUCCGUAUUUGACCAUUAUUUUCAGCUGUGUGAUACACUUUCAAAGAGUCGGAUUGUUUGGGAAUGCAGUCCAAAAUGGGUGGUAAAUUUCAUCUAAAGCUAAAUAUUGGCGGGAGACGAUAGCGAACAGUACCGUGAGGGAAAGAUGAAAAGAACUUUGAAAAGAGAGUUAAACAGUACGUGAAAUUGUCAAAAGGAAGCGUUUGACACCAGUGUUGUUUCUCGAAAAUCAAUUAAAAGAGUUGAUUUGUGUUGUAUUGACUUAAAGCUUCUUCACUUUUUCAUGCUUUUUUAAUGCACUUUUCGUCUAACAAGUCAAUCAGUUUUUUUGUUGUAAAAGGGUCAUUGAAGGUGGCUUUCUUUUCGGAGAAGUGUUUAUAGCCUUUGAUCUCUGCAAUCGGAGAGACUGAGGUCUGCAGCGUAGAUCUUCGGGGUUAGAUACAUUGUGCUAAGUUAUAUACUUUUUCAUAGACAACUUGUUGAUA